CCUUGACAUACUAAGAACUUUCCAGAGAUUGGAUUGGUGCCUUCGGGAACUUAGAUACAGGUGCUGCAUGGCUGUCGUCAGCUCGUGUCGUGAGAUGUUGGUUAAGUCCCGCAACGAGCGCAACCUUUUCCUAUUUGCCAGCGGGUCAUGCCGGGAACUUUAAGGAUACUGCCAGUGACAAACUGGAGGAAGGCGGGGACGACGUCAAGUCAUCAUGGCCCUUACGGCCAGGGCUACACACGUGCUACAAUGGUCGGUACAAAGGGUUGCUACCUCGCGAGAGGAUGCUAAUCUCAAAAAGCCGAUCGUAGUCCGGAUCGCAGUCUGCAACUCGACUGCGUGAAGUCGGAAUCGCUAGUAAUCGCGGAUCAGAAUGCCGCGGUGAAUACGUUCCCGGGCCUUGUACACACCGCCCGUCACACCAUGGGAGUUUGUUGCACCAGAAGUAGGUAGUCUAACCGCAAGGAGGACGCUUACCACGGUGUGGCCGAUGACUGGGGUGAAGUCGUAACAAGGUAAGCGUAGAUGA
This 529-nucleotide ribosomal RNA is filed under the name uncultured bacterium. RNAcentral's name for it is "bacterial SSU rRNA". It matches the Rfam family "Bacterial small subunit ribosomal RNA", at positions 979 to 1509 of the family's 1533-position model. The record is from RNAcentral.